This is a long non-coding RNA of Mesocricetus auratus (golden hamster), 571 nucleotides long. RefSeq lists it as uncharacterized. Lineage: Eukaryota; Metazoa; Chordata; Mammalia; Rodentia; Cricetidae. The record is from RefSeq and is a predicted model, not a curated record. The transcript is spliced from 2 exons.
AAGGAGGAGCUCAUGGACCCCAGACUGAUAGCUGGGAAACCAGCAUAGGACAGAACCAGAGCAGCAAUUCCAGCAAUUCAAGUCACCCACCAUGCAAGGCUGCUCUCUGAUUCAGACCUGGGCCCACAGUAAGAGCCAAAGAGAAAAACUGGCAGGACCAGGAAAGAUAUCUCCCAGCAUGUCUGGGACACAUGGCAACCUCACUGCUUCUGAAUUCUGAUCCCAUUCUCUCCCGUGGCCUCUUGUACUAAUUACAUUUAGUUAGUUCUCAGAUGCAGUGAGAGCCCAAGUUCUACUGGGUUGUCUAGCUAGAAACUAAGAACGUCUUUGUAUUUGAUCUGUCUGUAUGAACAGAGGUCCCUGAUUGUCAGCUGAGAAGACCCUGGCUCAUGUGUUUGAGCAGCUACUACGUGUUAUGUGCAAAGGCUAAUUAUUUUUCACCUUGGUUGCCAUAAAAAAAGUCUGCCCUAAGCUUCCAUGUGUUUGAAGCUCAGGGUUUAAUCUCUAUCAACAUAGAGGACAUUUGUCUGAUUGCAUCUCUAUUGCAAAAAUAAACAUUUCUCAGCUGCAA